CCGGAGCACGACCGGUGCUGUUGGUGCCCGUGUUGUGGCUGCGAAGUGCGAAAACACCUGAGCCAUGGAAACCUGACAGUGCUACACGGGGGUCUGCUGGAACAUCUGGCCAGCCCAGAACAUAAGAAAGCCACCAACAAAUUCUGGUGGGAGAACAAGGCCCAUGCCCAGGUGAAAGAGAAGUUUCUGAUCUCCCCCCCGGAUUAUGCACGAUGGCAGCUCAGAUCCGUGAGGUAGAACAGAGUCGGCAGGAAGUGGUCCGAUCUGUCUUAGAGGUUGGUUUCCCUCGGAGGACCCAGAGCACCUCAGGCAGAGUCAGAUCCAGAAGAGGGUUCUUCGGCACCUGAAAGUUGGAAAGCUGCCAAUGGGUAAGUCCUCAGGGAGCCUCUGCAGUUGGAUGCUGGGAAAUGGGAACCAAUCUGAUCCUUGCCAUCCCCAGUGCUCAAGGACUUCAUCUGCCAGCCUGGCUCCCCUGUCUUUCAGCCAUGGAGCCUCCAGCUCACAGCAGGUAUCACACUUGGACUUGCAACCUGUUGCAGAGCUUGAUUGGAUGGAGACAGGACCGCACCUAACAUUCAUUGGGCAUCAGGAUACACCCGGAGUUGGUAACAUUCACUCAGGUGCCACACCUCCAUGGAUGAUCCAAGAGGAGGAGCACAGCUCUGGAAGCCUCCCAAUAGGACCCUCCUAUGAAGAAUUUCUUAAAGAAAAGGAAAAGCAAAAACUGAAGAAACUCCCUCCAGAUAGAGUUGGGGCCAACUUUGAUCACAGUUCCAACACCAGUGCAGGCUGGCUGCCCUCUUUUGGCAGAGUCUGGAAUAAUGGACGCCGCUGGCAGUCCAGGCAUCAAUUCAAAACUGAAGCUGCAGCAAGAAGCAGGCAGCCACAUAAAGGGAAAAGCUGAAGGUUCCCAGUCUGUUCCGAUCUCAUGGGUUAACAAACCCAUUCCAGCCAGCUAUUAUUCCUAAGACCAAAUCCUCUCCAGCUGCCUGAGGAAACAGAUGCACCCAUUCAUUUGAUUCAAUAAAGUUUUAUUUUCCCAAAUGUA
Molecule: long non-coding RNA, 1048 nt
Filed under: Rattus norvegicus (Norway rat)
Lineage: Eukaryota; Metazoa; Chordata; Mammalia; Rodentia; Muridae
Description: long non-coding RNA NONRATT028474
Source: RNAcentral